GUCCCUGCUGACCUCACCGGCUUUGCACUGCUUUUCUGUAAUUGAUUGAUACGAGAGUGAACCAAAUACUUUCUGUGAAGGUCUUCCAAGGGAGAAGAACCCAACUGAAGAAGAGAAAAAGACCCCGGAGCCACCUGAAGUCCUCAUGGACAUUCUCAAGAAGAUGCAUGCACUACACGUGAUGGCCCAAGAGGCUGUGCAGGAGGUGGCGUUUCCAGAAGAACACAGCAACUCCCUGCCAGUCCCGGGUGGAGCGACAGAGGCCAUGCCAGGUAACUGCUGUCCCGUGGCCAGCCCGUGUCACCCCUUGGGCUGACUGUGUGUCUGCAGGCUCUUCUCCUGGGCCCGCUCCUGCACCUCCCGUCAGCAGCCAAAGCUGAAAGGGUUCUGGGUUCCAGACAUCGUUGCCACCUUCUGCAGGUGGUGGGGAAGGGGACACCUGCAGGAACGCAGCUCCCGCUGUGGCUGCGACCCAGAGCUGGCCGCGAGUCCCCUGAGGCCCAAGGCAGAGGAGCAGCACACAGCGGGGUCCCCCCCGUCAGCUGAGGGCCCGAGCCCUUCCCUGAGUGCCCCUGGGCAGGGGCUUGGAGGGAACAGCCCCGUCCUCCUGCAUCCUCUGGGCCUGAGCCCUGCUGAGGCUUGACCUGUCCUCUCUCCUUUUUGGCAGUGCUGUCAGAGCCCAGAAAAGCCAAAGUAUACGACUUUUCUCGGUCAAACUCAGGUACUGAGCAGAGCUGCUGGGGUCCCUAAGUGGGAGACACGUCCC
This 766-nucleotide long non-coding RNA is filed under the name Calidris pugnax (ruff). Its description in RNAcentral is "lncRNA (ENSCPUG00000000366.1)". The record is from RNAcentral. Lineage: Eukaryota; Metazoa; Chordata; Aves; Charadriiformes; Scolopacidae.